Molecule: ribosomal RNA, 301 nt
Filed under: uncultured bacterium
Lineage: Bacteria
Description: partial 16S ribosomal RNA
Rfam family: Bacterial small subunit ribosomal RNA
Source: RNAcentral
CAGUAGCCGCGGGAAUACGGAGGGGGCUAGCGUUGUUCGGAAUUACUGGGCGUAAAGCGCACGUAGGCGGCUUGGUAAGUUAGAGGUGAAAGCCCGGGGCUCAACCCCGGAAUUGCCUUUAAGACUGCCGAGCUAGUAGGUGAGAGAGGUGAGUGGAAUUCCGAGUGUAGGGGUGAAAUUCGUAGAUAUUCGGGAGAACACCAGUGGCGAAGGCGGCUCACUGGCUCAUUCUAGACGCUGAGGUGCGAAAGCGUGGGGAGCAAACAGGAUUAGAUACCCCCGUAGUCCCUGUCUCUUAUAC